This 50-nucleotide ribosomal RNA is filed under the name Phytophthora infestans T30-4. RNAcentral describes it as "18S ribosomal RNA". The record is from RNAcentral. Lineage: Eukaryota; Oomycota; Peronosporomycetes; Peronosporales; Peronosporaceae.
UCCGGUCCGCUCCCUCUGGGAGUGUGUACUUAUGGAUAUUCGAGGCAUUU